RNAcentral lists this ribosomal RNA (463 nucleotides) under uncultured bacterium. Its description in RNAcentral is "bacterial SSU rRNA". It matches the Rfam family "Bacterial small subunit ribosomal RNA", at positions 331 to 792 of the family's 1533-position model. The record is from RNAcentral.
CCAGACUCCUACGGGAGGCAGCAGUGAGGAAUAUUGGUCAAUGGGCGCGAGCCUGAACCAGCCAAGUAGCGUGAAGGAUGACUGCCCUACGGGUUGUAAACUUCUUUUAUAAAGGAAUAAAGUGAGGCACGUGUGCCUUUUUGUAUGUACUUUAUGAAUAAGGAUCGGCUAACUCCGUGCCAGCAGCCGCGGUAAUACGGAGGAUCCGAGCGUUAUCCGGAUUUAUCGGGUUUAAAGGGUGCGCAGGCGGAUUUUUAAGUUAGCGGUCAAAUCGUGGGGCUCAACCCCAUCCAGCCGUUGAAACUGGGGAUCUAGAGUGUGCGAGAGGUAUGCGGAAUGCGUGGUGUAGCGGUGAAAUGCAUAGAUAUCACGCAGAACCCCGAUUGCGAAGGCAGCAUGCCGGCUUCCGACUGACGCUGAAGCACGAAAGCGUGGGGAUCGAGCAGGAUUAGAUACCCCAGUA